CGAUGGGAAAAUGGUUAAUAUUCCAUUACUUCUGUGUAAUGCGAUGAGAGGACGGAGAAGGCUAAAUCAGCCUGGCGUUGGUUGUCCAGGUGAAAGGAUGUAGGCAUGUAUCUUAGGCAAAUCCGGGGUACUCUAUGCUGAGAUCUGAUAGCAAGCUGUACUUGUACAGCGAAGUGGUUGAUGCCAUGCUUCCAGGAAAAGUCUCUAAGCUUCAGUUACACAGGAAUCGUACCCGAAACCGAC
RNAcentral lists this ribosomal RNA (243 nucleotides) under Acinetobacter baumannii. RNAcentral's name for it is "partial 23S ribosomal RNA". It matches the Rfam family "Bacterial large subunit ribosomal RNA", at positions 1416 to 1658 of the family's 2925-position model. Lineage: Bacteria; Pseudomonadati; Pseudomonadota; Gammaproteobacteria; Moraxellales; Moraxellaceae. The record is from RNAcentral.